This is a non-coding RNA of Lactuca sativa (garden lettuce), 2518 nucleotides long. The record is from RefSeq and is a predicted model, not a curated record. NCBI's taxonomy places the organism in Eukaryota, Viridiplantae, Streptophyta, Magnoliopsida, Asterales, Asteraceae.
UUAUUGUAUUAUCUAUGCUUAAUGAUGCUUGCAAAUUCAAGGAUUUGCAUGUUGGUGCUUCAUAGUUGAUAUCCCUUAUUUAUUAGGUAUUAUAGGGAUUGGUCUUGAAGAGCAAUGAAAACCAGCGAUUCAUGGUUGAAACAUUUGUCGAUGUUAUAGUAACAGACUAUAUAUAUCUGAUGUCAUAUCGGUUCUUUGUUGGACCAAUGUCUUCUAACCUGUUCACUAGACAAAAGGAUAAAAGUUUUGAUGCUUUCACUUUGUAAGAUGAUAUAUAUGUUAUUUGUUCUUGCAAUUACAACAAAACGUAUUUCACUUUGUGAUUCUACUUGGUGCAAAAGUAGAAUGCUAUGCUAUAUGUAACAUUACCAGGAAAUUUGUUGGUAACUCAAGGUAAAGGUAGGUUUGGCAUACAGGGCCAAGCCAGGCUGUGAAUUCUUAGAUGAUAUGUGAUAAGCCUCAAGAACUUCUAGUUAACAGCAGGAGGGGUAGAAAGGUCAAUAUAUAAUAAAGCAACUUUUGAGUGUGGUGAAGUGUCUAUUUCCGUUUUUUUCUUUAUCCUUCGUGGGGAAUAUUUCCAGCUGAGUUAUGGUCCCAGUGGUCCUUAUUUUGAGGUUUAUUCCCUUAUACUAGGAGAGUAUUUAAGCUUGUUUGCAGUGUGGGGUUGUUUAUCGAGAAUUUUGUUAUUGCUCUUAUGAACCUUGGAGAGACUCUCACCUCUAUAAUUCAGUUACCUGAGGACAAUAUUGAUUCUGCAAGGAGGGCAUAUAAAUUUGAAGAGAAGUCUGAAGAGCAUUCCUACAGUAACAUUUUCCUCUGAUCACAAGUGUUUGACAAUUGGGAAAAGGAUGAUGGUUGCAGGUGCAACCGGGGGGAGUCCGGGUUUGAUUGCUGAUGCCUUGACAGAGAAGGAUAUUCAUGGUUCAUAUACAAGUGGAGGUUGGAAAAGUGAUGUCAGCAGAUGGAAGAACGAAUCUUGUGUUGAGGGGAAUAAGACAUGGGGUAUGUGAUUACUUAAUCAAGCCUAUAUAUGAAGAACAACUAAAGAACAUAUGGCAACAUGUUAUAAGAAAAAAGUGGAAUGAAAAUAAAGAACAUGAAAAUUCAGGGAGCAUAGAGCACAAAAGUGGAGGAGGAGCUGAUGAUAAUCAUGAUAGUGAGUAUGGUUCUUCUGUUAAUGGAGGAGGAGAAAAUGGGGUGCUGACGUGUCAUAAAAAAAGGAGAAGUAUUAAAGAAGAAGAUGAUUGUGAACUUGAAAGUGAUGUUCCAUCUGCUUCAAAAAAGCCACGUGUUGUUUGGUCUAUGGAGUUGCAUCAACAAUUCGUUAGUGCUGUGAAUCAACUUGGAAUCGAUAGUAUGUUAUUAUUAUUAUUUUUUUCAAUUAUUAUUAUUAUUUAAUAGAUGUUGCUCAGGGUAUUGUUGCUUUUACAAUGGACGACCCUCUGCAUAAGCUUUUUAUCGAUUUAUAUUUUCUAUUAUCAUAUCUUCUCACUUCUCAAUGACAUUAUGUGUUUGUUAUAGUAUCAAGUUCCAGAGAAUGAUGUCAAAGGAAUUUCUAAGGAUAAACCGUUGUAUGAUCUAUCUGUUUCUUUACUUUAAUGAGUAAAAUUUAAGUUCUAAGGAUAUUCAUAUUCCCAUUCAUUCUUGAUUUAUAUAUCUACAUGGUAUAAUUAUUUUUAAUUCUUCCUUUUGCAAAAAGGUAUGCUUUUGAGUAGAAGGAGACUUUGCUUUCCUUAAAGAAGAGUGGCAAAAUCAAUGAAUUAUUAUUACAGGUAAAACUAGUUGACCAUUUUUUUAUUUUUUAUAUUAACUUUUUAAAUUCAUAAGACAUAACAAGAUUACCUCAAUCAUGCUUUUUAUGGUAAAGAGUACAUCUUGUUGCUAAACUCAGAUAAUUUUGCUGAAGUUGUGGACCCAAGUAUCCUUUUUAAGUUUAUAAUUGUUAGUUUCUUUUUGACUUAAUGAACUUAAGAUAUAUAUUUGAGUAUGGCUUCUCAAAUAUUUUUAUAAACAUCAUUUAUCCUAGGAAAAAUGUUAUAAAUUAAACAAUUAAACAAUAACCAACUAUAUGAUUUUGGGAUCCUUAUGAUAUGUACCAGAGAUUCUAAAUCAUCUUAUCCAGAAGAACAUUGAGUAUUGCAUGGAGGUGUCACAAGUUUCAAGUGAAUGGGAAGCUAGUGCCCUAAUUGAGGUUAAUGUGUCUCCUUUAAGCAACAACUCGUUAUUUCCCUAUCUACUGAUGACCCCUUACAAAUCUAUCUCACAAAGGAACCCUUGGUGGAGGAAUACAAUAUUGUUGCUUCUGUGAUGGGAAUUAAAGUAUCUUAAAUUCUUUUUUUACAGGUCUGGAAGUUGAGUUCAUGUGAUCUUUGUGUAUAUCUUCUUAGUUUGUAUAGCAUUACAUUGUAGAAGGUGUCCCUUAAUAGCAAUGUAGUAUUAGGUUAUAUAGUUAGGGAAAACCUCUUAAUAACAAUGUACAAUUAGAUCCCCUUAGUAUCUAUGUAUUACAAUUUUUUCA